AGAGCUGUCCCUCUCUCGGCUUGCACUAAGGAGGAGGUCACGUGAGCACACAGUGAGAAGGCGGAGGACCAUCUGCAAGCAGGAAGAGAGCCCUCGCUAGAACCCCCCACGGUGGCAUCUGAUAGUGGACUUCUAGCUUCCAGAACUGAACUCAUAAAUGUCACAUCAGGCUGCCUCUUGGUGAAUUUUUAAUCAACGGGGAGAAUUUCAGCUACAAAUAGACCAAGAAUCAAGAGGCCCACUAUUGAUCGGUCAAAGUGGCACUUAUGAACCUGAGGUUGAAGCAGUUUGGAUAAAAGGAUUCUGGGCUUUCGAUGGCCCCAGAGACAUCUUUUUCCAUCAAGUCCAGGCUUGCUGAUCGGUACAGCUGAGAACAUGUUGAAUUUGAUGUGCCUGUGGAUAUUUGAGUCUGGAACAUUGAAGACAAGUUUGGUCUGGAGAUGUAGACUGGGGAUAUCUCAGCACACAGAUGAUAACUGAAAUGAUGGAGCGGAUGAUAUAAACUGGAGAGAGUCUGGUGUGGGAAGAGUCUUCCCUGAGGUGGCCGAAAGAUGUAAUUCUUACUCCAAAGACUGAAAUAGAGACAAGAGAAGCUGAAGUUACAGGGUUUUGUCAUUGGGAAGACAGUAGAGUGUGUCAUAUCCCAAGAGUGAAGCAAGGACAAACCAAAGAACAACUGGGAAGAUCUGGGAGAAAAAGGGAGAGGAGAGCCUGACGUUUCAAGAACUCAAGGUUCAGUACUAGGUCUUAGAGGAAGACUUCAUUUUAGCUUUGAUGCUCUCCGCUAGGCACAGAGAAACUUAAGCAGAAUGACAAGACCUGCUGUUUGAGUAACUCACGUUCUGACCAGAGAGACAGACAUGUCAGCAAGAGGUUACAAUACAGUGUGCUCAGAUUCUCCGGGACUUGGAGCACUUGUUCCAGAAAGGAAGGCCAGGGAAGUCUUCCAGGAGUAGAUGGCGCCUCUGCUGACCUGAAGGGUGAGGAAAAAGUGUCCAGUUGCAGAAGAAAUGAUGCAACUGAGUCACAGAGAAGUUAAGUAAUCUGCCUGCCGACACUCGGGUCGAUGCCGCCUCAUUCCAUCACUCGGGCAAUGGAGCCAAAGGCCACGUUCACAACCACUAGGCUGUCCCAGCCCCUUGGUAUGAUUUGUCCCUUCCUAAGCUUCAAAGAUAGCCAGGCAGGAGUUAUUUUAUAGAAUGGAAGUAAUUUCUACGGGGCCAAGCAAUAAUAAGGAAAUUGGAAGUCAAGGACUAUCUUCCGAAUGGAGAAGAAGCUCCAUCAACCACAGAAGGAAAUUAUGAUCACUCCUGCCAUCCUGCUCCUUUGUGUAUCCAGGAUGAAGGGGAGAAUUGGAGUCUUGCACAAUGAAAGGACAACAUUGCUGCCAAAACAAUCCAUCGUGACUGUAGACAUAUUUUCCACCCUCAUCCUGCAGGUUUUCUGCCAGUUGUUGGCCCCUCACCAAUUUUGCUCCUGGGCAGUCUGAGGUGGAACAUAAUUUUGUAUAAAACAAAUUAUGCUCAACCUCACUUAUAAUCAGGGAAAUGUGAGUCAAAACCACAAUAAAAUAUCACCUCAUGCUG
This is a long non-coding RNA of Homo sapiens (human), 1586 nucleotides long. NCBI's taxonomy places the organism in Eukaryota, Metazoa, Chordata, Mammalia, Primates, Hominidae. The record is from Ensembl.